CUGGUUUAUUAACUUCGAGGUUAAUUGACAACGAGCGGAGACGCGUCCUCCAUGUAGUUACUUUUCGUUUAGAAAAAAAGGGCGUGUUAAGCCAAUAUUACCGCCAAAGACUUCAGACAAGUCAUGGAUAAGUCAAGAUACAAAUGAGCCCGAAUGGCCACACCUAUUCACACCAUUCCUAUUCAUAACACAUUAUGUCCAGUAAAGUGAUUGGGCACGUGCGUGCCCGUUCAUGUGUGGUAAUAUUUACCCUUUAGGUGGCGGUAUUGCAUUCUAUAUCUGUAUAUCUCUAUACAGCUCUGAAAACAGUUUGCAAAACACACAACCAACUGAGGGAGCCAAAAUGGUCAACAUGGGUUGUAAACCCAUUUUUUUUUUUUUUAUCGCCACCAAUUUAAUUUAAUGUCACCCUAUAGACAAGUUAAAAGCAUUAUAUCUGUCUUUUCUGUUUCAUCAUCCCCUUAGAACAUUGGGAUUUUUAAAAAAAUUUUUUUAAAGAAACUAACUUCAGAAGCUUGAAUUGUCAGGUGUGUCAAGUCAGAGAAUGUCUGACGCAGACGGGCUCUGGUCAAGUCAAGACUAAAAUGGGAAAACGACACAGAUAAGAUACUGAGGGAGAACAUUAGGACAUGGACCCCUGAUGACCUUUGACCCCAUGACCUUGAGUACCUAAUAGCUGGUGUUCAUUCUCACUACAGGACAGUUAAUAAAACCACUUAAUGGAUUUGACAUGAGGAUUUAUGCCAGGGAUAACAUCCGCCGAGGUAUGCAGAAAUAAUGGAGGAGACGGAUGCAAAGACCUCCCCGAAGCAGGAAGAGUUUUCUCCACCAAGUUAAUUAAUUCUGUAUAUCGGGACACCUUGCAGGAUGUUGCCAGUCAUUUAUGUAGACAAUAGGCAUGCAUUUAUAGCACAAAAAGGGAAAUGCAGUUCAGUUUAAAAAGAGGCCGACCUGUUAAAUGUAUCCCUCUACAUUCAUUGGUUACGGAAAUGAUGGUGGGUAGUAUGCUAUGUCAGUGGUUCUCAACUGGUCUGUCUUUGGGACCCUCCAGAUCAGUGGCACAGCCAUGGGUGCCACUAUGGCCCCUGACUAUGCCCAUUUAUAUCUUGGUUUCUUGGAAGAACAGUAUGUGUUCAAUAGCAAUCCUUUUUUUUAGAGAAGAUCAUGUUCUUCAAAAGAUACAUUGAUGAUUGUUUUGUGGCUCAUUACCUGAAUUUGAAUUGUUUGUCUUGUAUAUUAACUGCCUAAGACCAUUCAUCAAGUUUACUUAUUCAGCUAGUACCACCUGUGUGAACUUUGUAGACACUUGUAUUUCACUUACUGAUGGAAACAUUGUCUCCUCUUUGUACAGGAAAGACACAGAGAAAAAUAGUUUACUUCAUGCCACAAGUGUCCAUCCUACAUCUCUGAAACAAGGUCUGCCCUUCAGUCAGUUCACUAGACUGCACCAGAUUUGCUCCGACAAAAAUGACUUUGAGGCCCAAGCCAGAAUCCUAUACAGAAAUUUUAGCUCUAGAGGAUAUCCCAACAGCUGGCUUGAUAGAGCACUAGACAAAAAACCCUAAUCUCAGAGAGGCUGGUCCAUGCGGACACUGCCACGCCGCCUCCUUCUAGCACUCUCUCUAAUGCCAACGUCUGCAGGGCACUCCAUUGCUGACCUGAGAUUUCUGGGUGUGGAAAGGAUUUCUCGGAUCUCGCCUAAAAGGAGAGGUGGGGACUUGGAUAAAACACUGCUUCAGAGAGAAUGUUUCUGGAUUUUUGAACUUGGUAGCCUUUGUCCAAAAGGGAUGAACGAGGACUUAAAUCUAUCAUGCUUUUUGUAAAACUUUUAUCUCACUAACUCUUUUAAAUUAAUGUCUACGAGUGUUGUAACAAAAACAAAUGCAUCUAUACUUGUUGUCUGGGUCUGGCCUAAAGCCCCUCCCACCACACCUGUCUCUUAAUUGCCCUUAACCCAACUGGGUACUUGUUAAUUGCAUGUCUGCAGUUGAUUCACUGUGAGCAUUGAGAAUAGCCAGACGGCUGAAACGUCUGCUCUUGCUCCCAAAAUUAAAUGGAAAAACUCCUUUCUGAAGACUUUAAGUCAUUUCUUUCAGUGUGCGAACUACUCCUCUCUCUCUCUUCAACUCUUGGUUCAAACGCACCUGGCUAAACUUCUAGAUCAUCUGAGCGCAACAAUACUCCCCUGCAUCCUGGCUUUGGGA
This is a long non-coding RNA of Alosa sapidissima (American shad), 2204 nucleotides long. RefSeq lists it as uncharacterized. The transcript has 3 exons. NCBI's taxonomy places the organism in Eukaryota, Metazoa, Chordata, Actinopteri, Clupeiformes, Clupeidae. The record is from RefSeq and is a predicted model, not a curated record.